GCACAAUGGAGGAAACUCUGAUGCCGCGACGCCGCGUGAGGGAAGAAGGUCUUCGGAUUGUAAACCUCUGUCUUUGGGGACGAAGAAAGUGAAGGUACCCAAAGAGGAAGCCACGGCUAACUACGUGCCAGCAGCCGCGGUAAUACGUAGGUGGCGAGCGUUGUCCGGAAUUACUGGGUGUAAAGGGUGCGUAGGCGGACUGGCAAGUUGGAUGUGAAAUCACCGCGCUUAGCGUGGAGGUUGCAUUCAAAACUGUUGUUCUUGAGGGAGGCAGAGUCAGGCGGAAUUCCCGGUGUCGCGGUGAAAUGCGUAGAGAUCGGGACGAACACCAGUGGCGAAGGCGGCCUGCUGGGCCUUAACUGACGCUGAGGCACGAAAGCAUGGGUAGCAAACA
RNAcentral lists this ribosomal RNA (394 nucleotides) under uncultured bacterium. Its description in RNAcentral is "bacterial SSU rRNA". It matches the Rfam family "Bacterial small subunit ribosomal RNA", at positions 366 to 774 of the family's 1533-position model. The record is from RNAcentral.